UACGUAGGGUGCAAGCGUUGUCCGGAAUUAUUGGGCGUACAGAGCUCGUAGGCGGUUCGUCGCGUCGGCUGUGAAAACCCGGGGCUCAACCCCGGGCCUGCAUUCGAUACGGGCAGACUAGAGUUCGGUAGGGGAGUCUGGAAUUCCUGGUGUAGCGGUGAAAUGCGCAGAUAUCAGGAGGAACACCGGUGGCGAAGGCGGGACUCUGGGCCGAUACUGACGCUGAGGAGCGAAAGCGUGGGGAGCAAACAGG
Molecule: ribosomal RNA, 253 nt
Filed under: uncultured bacterium
Lineage: Bacteria
Description: partial 16S ribosomal RNA
Rfam family: Bacterial small subunit ribosomal RNA
Source: RNAcentral